AUGCCGAUAGUAUACAUAAGUACAAUUGCCUUCCAAGCAAAAAGACCAAAAAUGGUCAGCAUA
RNAcentral lists this transfer RNA (63 nucleotides) under Lasmigona compressa (creek heelsplitter). Its description in RNAcentral is "tRNA-Gly". Lineage: Eukaryota; Metazoa; Mollusca; Bivalvia; Unionida; Unionidae. The record is from RNAcentral.